AUGCCUCUGCUCUGGGAAAUAAGAAGCAGCCGCCGCCCCCCCAAACAAGUGGCACGCCCGCCAAAAGGCAGGCGAGCGCCGCUCCAGGGACUGGGGCGCCCGCAGCCGAGGACCGGGAGUGAGCCUGCUGCUGGGAAGGAUGGGGAAGGGGGACGCGAGGCCAGCCGACCCCCACGCUCGGGCGGAUGGCGGGCAACUCACUACUCACUCACCCGAGGAAACCGAGGAGCCGGACAAGCUGGAGUUGCUGGACGCUGCCAUCAUCCCCCGCUUUCUCUCCUCCACGGCCGCCCCUCUUUAGCUUCUGAGCCAGAUGUGGGCGCCGCAGCCACUGCUGCUGUCCGGGCGCCGCCGCUGCUGCCGCCGCCGCCGCCGCUGCCCCCAGCCCAUGGCAAAGUCCCGGGGACGCAGAGCGCGAAGCGGCCGCCUACUCCCAGCCUCCCUAGCCAGCCAGCCAGCCAGCCAGCCCAGCGCUUCGUCCCCCCCCCCCCCCCCUCCGGGACGGGGCUGCACUUCCUGCUCCGCCAGAUGACGCGCGGCCAACGCCGCUAUUUAAGUGCGCUUUCCUGCCCUCGCAGCUCCGUUCCGCACGGCUCUGGGCGGCCCGCCGGAGGUGCCAGCGGAGCCGAGCGGAGCCAAGCAGAGUCGGGAGCCGGGCAGCCAGGCGAGCAGCGCAGCCUGGGUUCCGGCCUCAGCCCGGGUUCUGCUUUAGUUUCUCCAGAGCUUGGUCCCAAGCUCGAGGGGAGCGUCCCCCCGCCCCCACUAUCUCCUCCGCAGCUCCGGGCAGCCCCAGCAGGAGGAGGUGUCACUCCACGCACACACACACCAGACCCUGACAGACAGACAGACAUGAGGCGCAGCCCCCCUCCCUCCCCUCGUCCCGCCUCCCCCACUCCACGCGCCCACACAAAGGAACCGGGAAGGCGCGGCGGCGGCGGCGGCGGCAGCAGCUGCUCGCUAGACAGCUCUCCCGGUUGCAGCCCGAGGCGGCGCUGGCUCGGCUGGAUAGGCUGGGCCCGAGGGAGCGGAGCCGGGAGUGAGCCCGCCGGGCCAAGCCUUCGGCACUCCGGGGCCCCGGGCAGGGCAACGCCUGUGCCAGAAGCGACUUGGUUUCGGGGGUGGGGGUGGGGGUGGCUGGCGUUACCGAGGGAGUUGCCGCCGGGGCCAGGGGCCAGAGUCCAGCGAGGCAAACGGGCGCUAGGCUGCCCAGAGUUCUUUGCCCCCCCUGGAGGCUGGCCACCGGGUCUCAGCCCUGCCAGAGCGCGGCUUCCCCGGGUCGGUCAGACCCAGGACAGCGCUCUAAAGGGGGGCUCCAGGCGCCGCCGCCUGCGCCCUGACCCCGAAGCCGGGACAGGACCUACCUAA
This 1365-nucleotide long non-coding RNA is filed under the name Monodelphis domestica (gray short-tailed opossum). Its description in RNAcentral is "lncRNA (ENSMODG00000028724.1)". Lineage: Eukaryota; Metazoa; Chordata; Mammalia; Didelphimorphia; Didelphidae. The record is from RNAcentral.